Molecule: ribosomal RNA, 1371 nt
Filed under: uncultured bacterium
Lineage: Bacteria
Description: bacterial SSU rRNA
Rfam family: Bacterial small subunit ribosomal RNA
Source: RNAcentral
GAUGAACGCUGGCGGCGUGCCUAAUACAUGCAAGUCGAGCGAACGGACGAGAAGCUUGCUUCUCUGAUGUUAGCGGCGGACGGGUGAGUAACACGUGGAUAACCUACCUAUAAGACUGGGAUAACUUCGGGAAACCGGAGCUAAUACCGGAUAAUAUUUUGAACCGCAUGGUUCAAAAGUGAAAGACGGUCUUGCUGUCACUUAUAGAUGGAUCCGCGCUGCAUUAGCUAGUUGGUAAGGUAACGGCUUACCAAGGCAACGAUGCAUAGCCGACCUGAGAGGGUGAUCGGCCACACUGGAACUGAGACACGGUCCAGACUCCUACGGGAGGCAGCAGUAGGGAAUCUUCCGCAAUGGGCGAAAGCCUGACGGAGCAAUGCCGCGUGAGUGAUGAAGGUCUUCGGAUCGUAAAACUCUGUUAUUAGGGAAGAACAUAUGUGUAAGUAACUGUGCACAUCUUGACGGUACCUAAUCAGAAAGCCACGGCUAACUACGUGCCAGCAGCCGCGGUAAUACGUAGGUGGCAAGCGUUAUCCGGAAUUAUUGGGCGUAAAGCGCGCGUAGGCGGUUUUUUAAGUCUGAUGUGAAAGCCCACGGCUCAACCGUGGAGGGUCAUUGGAAACUGGAAAACUUGAGUGCAGAAGAGGAAAGUGGAAUUCCAUGUGUAGCGGUGAAAUGCGCAGAGAUAUGGAGGAACACCAGUGGCGAAGGCGACUUUCUGGUCUGUAACUGACGCUGAUGUGCGAAAGCGUGGGGAUCAAACAGGAUUAGAUACCCCGGUAGUCACGCCGUAAACGAUGAGUGCUAAGUGUUAGGGGGUUUCCGCCCCUUAGUGCUGCAGCUAACGCAUUAAGCACUCCGCCUGGGGAGUACGACCGCAAGGUUGAAACUCAAAGGAAUUGACGGGGACCCGCACAAGCGGUGGAGCAUGUGGUUUAAUUCGAAGCAACGCGAAGAACCUUACCAAAUCUUGACAUCCUUUGACAACUCUAGAGAUAGAGCCUUCCCCUUCGGGGGACAAAGUGACAGGUGGUGCAUGGUUGUCGUCAGCUCGUGUCGUGAGAUGUUGGGUUAAGUCCCGCAACGAGCGCAACCCUUAAGCUUAGUUGCCAUCAUUAAGUUGGGCACUCUAAGUUGACUGCCGGUGACAAACCGGAGGAAGGUGGGGAUGACGUCAAAUCAUCAUGCCCCUUAUGAUUUGGGCUACACACGUGCUACAAUGGACAAUACAAAGGGCAGCGAAACCGCGAGGUCAAGCAAAUCCCAUAAAGUUGUUCUCAGUUCGGAUUGUAGUCUGCAACUCGACUACAUGAAGCUGGAAUCGCUAGUAAUCGUAGAUCAGCAUGCUACGGUGAAUACGUUCCCGGGUCU